RNAcentral lists this ribosomal RNA (584 nucleotides) under uncultured bacterium. RNAcentral's name for it is "partial 16S ribosomal RNA". It matches the Rfam family "Bacterial small subunit ribosomal RNA", at positions 355 to 1375 of the family's 1533-position model. The record is from RNAcentral.
UGGGGAAUUUUGGACAAUGGGCGAAAGCCUGAUCCAGCAAUGCCGCGUGUGUGAAGAAGGCCUUCGGGUUGUAAAGCACUUUUGUCCGGAAAGAAAUCCUUGGCUCUAAUACAGUCGGGGGAUGACGGUACCGGAAGAAUAAGCACCGGCUAACUACGUGCCAGCAGCCGCGGUAAUACGUAGGGUGCAAGCGUUAAUCGGAAUUACUGGGCGUAAAGCGUGCGCAGGCGGUUUGCUAAGACCGAUGUGAAAUCCCCGGGCUCAACCUGGGAACUGCAUUGGUGACUGGCAGGCUAGAGUAUGGCAGAGGGGGGUAGAAUUCCACGUGUAGCAGUGAAAUGCGUAGAGAUGUGGAGGAAUACCGAUGGCGAAGGCAGCCCCCUGGCCAAUACUGACGCUCAUGCACGAAAGCGUGGGGAGCAAACAGGAUUAGAUACCCUGGUAGUCCACGCCCUAAACGAUGUCAACUAGUUGUUGGGGAUUCAUUUCCUUAGUAACGUAGCUAACGCGUGAAGUUGACCGCCUGGGGAGUACGGUCGCAAGAUUAAAACUUAAAUGAAUUGACGGGGUCAUAGCUGUUUCCU